RNAcentral lists this long non-coding RNA (648 nucleotides) under Vigna radiata. RNAcentral describes it as "long non-coding RNA (VRAD_LNC003470)". Lineage: Eukaryota; Viridiplantae; Streptophyta; Magnoliopsida; Fabales; Fabaceae. The record is from RNAcentral.
CCGUGUGCACCCUUAUAAAGUGAAGCACCGCUUCUUUCUAUUCUCCAAAGCCAAUAAAUGAAAUUGCUGCACCAUAAUUUCAAACAUUAAAAUAUUCAAAAAAAAAUAAACUAAAGAAAGAGUGGUGGCUGGUAGCUACAUUCCUUGCAGGCCGUGACACCUCCUAGUUGCAAUUUUUAAUUGAUGCUUGCAGCUCCUCUUCCAUCUAUCUCAAUCAAAAAGUGCAUAAGACUAAAUAAAAAAAAGGCAAGUAAUAAAUCUGCAAUUGAUGGCCAUGAACGAAAAUAAAAAAUCCGCACCAUGUGCAUUCAAAAAAGAAGGAAAUGAUUUUUUAAACAAAACAAUGCAAAUGACCAUGAACUUCUCUAGAAUCACCGCUUCAGCUAGCAAAGUGAAUGCCACUCUCCAAAACGUUUGUCACUUCUUCCAUCCAGCACCGUCCACACUUCAAGCUAAUCAUCUCUUCACGGCAGCAACAAUUAUCAAAGUCCAUCACCAAUUCUCCAUCAAUCACCGAAUCUUUAUUUAAUAAAAACUAAAAAGAAAAUGUUCAAGCAUUGCACAAAACGUAAAAGAAAAAUGAACCCAUUUUCAUUCCAUCAAAUCAUUUCGGACAAUAAAGACUAAGAAAAAUAUUCUAGCACUUGC